UUUCUACCCCUUUUCGGCCUACGUGGCACUAACUUGAAAAAAAAGUCAACCAACGUUGGGCCUACAAGAUAGUGUCACGUAGACCGAAAAGGGGUAGAAAAU
RNAcentral lists this microRNA precursor (102 nucleotides) under Solanum lycopersicum (tomato). Its description in RNAcentral is "miR7981a stem-loop (sly-MIR7981a)". The record is from miRBase by way of RNAcentral. Lineage: Eukaryota; Viridiplantae; Streptophyta; Magnoliopsida; Solanales; Solanaceae.